GAUGAACGCUGGCGGCGUGCUUAAUACAUGCAAGUCGAGCGAACGGACGCGAAUUUUGUUUCUUUCAUGUUUGCCGCGGACGGGUGUGUAACAUGUGUAUCCUCUACCUAUCUGUCUGGGAUCUCUUCGGGAAACCGGCGCUUAUCCCGGAUAAUAUUUUGAACCGUAUUGUUCAUAAGUGAAUGUCGGUCUUGCUGUCUCUUAUCGAUGGUUCUAGGCUGCAUUAGCUAGUUGGUACGGUAACGGCUUACCAAGGCAACUAUGCAUAGACGACGUAAGAGGGGGAUCGGCCACACUGGAACUUAAACACGGACCAGACGACUACGGGAGGCAGCAGUAGGGAAUGUUCGGCAAUAGGCGAGAGCCUGACGGAGCAACGCCACGUGAGAGAUGAAGAUCUUCGGAGCGUAAAGCUCUGUUAUUAGGGAAGAACAGAUGUGGAAGUAACUGAGCAGAUCGUGACGGUAACGAAUCAAAAAGCAACGGCUAACUACGUG
This 497-nucleotide ribosomal RNA is filed under the name uncultured bacterium. RNAcentral describes it as "partial 16S ribosomal RNA". It matches the Rfam family "Bacterial small subunit ribosomal RNA", at positions 28 to 507 of the family's 1533-position model. The record is from RNAcentral.